This 357-nucleotide ribosomal RNA is filed under the name uncultured fungus. RNAcentral describes it as "SSU rRNA". It matches the Rfam family "Eukaryotic small subunit ribosomal RNA", at positions 20 to 371 of the family's 1831-position model. The record is from RNAcentral. Lineage: Eukaryota; Fungi.
GUAGUCAUAUGCUUGUCUCAAAGAUUAAGCCAUGCAUGUCUAAGUAUAAACACCUUAUACUGUGAAACUGCAGAUGGCUCAUUAAAUCAGUUAUAAUUUAUUUGAUGGUUAACUUACUACAUGGAUACCCGUAGUAAUUCUAGAGCUAAUACAUGCGUCAAGUCCCGACCUUCGCGGGGAGGGAUGUAUUUAUUAGAUAAAAAACCAAUGCGGCCUCUGGUCGGUUUUGCGGUGAUUCAUAAUAACUGUUCGGAUCGUACGGCUUCACGCUGGCGAUAGUUCAUUCAAAUUUCUGCCCUAUCAGCUUUCGACGGUAGUGUAGUGGACUACCGUGGCGUUAACGGGUAACGGGGAAUA